RNAcentral lists this signal recognition particle RNA (98 nucleotides) under Sulfurimonadaceae bacterium. RNAcentral describes it as "signal recognition particle sRNA small type". It matches the Rfam family "Bacterial small signal recognition particle RNA". Rfam says of the family: The signal recognition particle (SRP) is a universally conserved ribonucleoprotein involved in the co-translational targeting of proteins to membranes. Archaeal SRP consists of a 7S RNA and homologues of the eukaryotic SRP19 and SRP54 proteins. The record is from RNAcentral. Lineage: Bacteria; Pseudomonadati; Campylobacterota; Epsilonproteobacteria; Campylobacterales; Sulfurimonadaceae.
CCUUUAGACCUGUGCAAUGGUUGUUUGGAGCAAUGAGUCAGAGUGGGAACACAGCAGCUCACUCCACUCGGUUAUGUGCCGCAGGUAUCUGGAGGGGA